UAUCGCGCGUCGAGAGUGCCGUGUAAAGUGUCGGGCGAUCGUAAUUAUUCGUGUUUUCGCGAGUGUCGCGAGUGCUACAAAAGACCAAGAAAGGAGGAGGAGGCCCGGGGAGGCAUCGGGCGACAUCGGGUCAACAAUGAGAUCAAUGUAGCUGUGUAGUAUAACUCCGAUAUUGCAUCGUAUCGGUCGGCGAAAAGUAUUCUACAGUACUUUUGGAGAAAGAGAACGAUGUGCGAAGACGUACGAAUAAGUUUGAGACGAGCGGAAGAAAAAUAUUAGCGUUAUAUCGCUUCCUGACUACAUGGACGGCCGAUGGAGGUUCAUACCAGCACAAUAUUACACCAGUUAUAGCGAUAUGAUAGCGGCCGUUGAUCGUGUGGCUCUCGAAGUGGCUAUGCAAAUUAACGCGGGCUCUAUCGAGCGAGAUUGCCCGGAGAGAGUCUCGGUAAAAGAGAACGAAGGAUAGACGCGAAGAAUCAAAGAAGGACGGUAGAAACGAGUAGAGAGAGAGAGAGAUGUACAGAAAAGAGAGAGAGAAACAGAGAAGAAAAGCCGCAGGGCAAGGGAAUCCGAGCGAGCAUCGGAGAGAGUGAACGAGAAUAGAGGAAGAACGUCGACCCCGCAGAUCGUAGAAGAGGAUAGUGAACGCG
Non-coding RNA from Nylanderia fulva, 650 nucleotides. NCBI's taxonomy places the organism in Eukaryota, Metazoa, Arthropoda, Insecta, Hymenoptera, Formicidae. The record is from RefSeq and is a predicted model, not a curated record.